This 496-nucleotide ribosomal RNA is filed under the name uncultured bacterium. Its description in RNAcentral is "partial 16S ribosomal RNA". It matches the Rfam family "Bacterial small subunit ribosomal RNA", at positions 28 to 507 of the family's 1533-position model. The record is from RNAcentral.
GAUGAACGCUGGCGGCGUGCCUAAUACAUGCAAGUCGAGCGAACAGACGAGGAGCUUGCUCCUCUGAUGUUAGCGGCGGACGGGUGAGUAACACGUGGAUAACCUACCUAUAAGACUGGGAUAACUUCGGGAAACCGGAGCUAAUACCGGAUAACAUGUUGAACCGCAUGGUUCAACAGUGAAAGACGGUCUUGCUGUCACUUAUAGAUGGAUCCGCGCCGCAUUAGCUAGUUGGUAAGGUAACGGCUUACCAAGGCAACGAUGCGUAGCCGACCUGAGAGGGUGAUCGGCCACACUGGAGCUAAGACACGGUCCAGACUCCUACGGGAGGCAGCAGUAGGAAAUCUUCCGCAAGGGGCGAAAGCCUGACGGGGCAACGCGGCGUGAGUGAAGAAGGUCUUCGGAUCGUAAAACUUUGUAUUAGGGAAGAACAAAUGUGUAAGUAACUAUGCACGUCUUGACGGUACCUAAUCAGAAAGCCACGGCUAACUACGUG